GCCAUAGCUCAGUUGGGAGAGCGCUUGAAUGGCAUUCAAGAGGUCGUCGGUUCGAUUCCGAUUGGC
Molecule: transfer RNA, 66 nt
Filed under: Mesorhizobium sp.
Lineage: Bacteria; Pseudomonadati; Pseudomonadota; Alphaproteobacteria; Hyphomicrobiales; Phyllobacteriaceae
Description: tRNA-Ala
Rfam family: tRNA
About the family: Transfer RNA (tRNA) molecules are approximately 80 nucleotides in length.
Source: RNAcentral